Long non-coding RNA from Manis pentadactyla (Chinese pangolin), 1973 nucleotides. RefSeq lists it as uncharacterized. The transcript has 5 exons. The record is from RefSeq and is a predicted model, not a curated record. NCBI's taxonomy places the organism in Eukaryota, Metazoa, Chordata, Mammalia, Pholidota, Manidae.
CCUAUGUAGCUGUUCUGGAGAACAAUUAGCCUACAUUGUAUGAAAUUAAUGCGUAUAUCACCUAUGAGCCAUGAUACGGAGUGGUAUAAGAGGGCAGAUGUUUCCUAUCAGCACCUCGUGCUCUUCAGUUUCUUUGAUUAUUCCCUUUCCCAGAAUGAGGUUCAUUUUCUAUAGAUGUGCAGAAGCAUCACAUGGUGAAAUAGCAUAGGUUUUGUAGUCAGAUAGCUUUGGGUACGAUUCCUGUCCCUGCCUCUUAGGAUGUGUGAAAUUGAGUAAAUUACUUCAUUUCACUGAACUCUCGUUUCCCUUAUUUGGCAGUACUCUUAGAGGACUGACAUGGAAUAAUGUAGGGUGUGUUUAAGACAUGUUUAAGUGUCAGCACGAAGAUCUUGCACAAGCCCACUCUGCGUGCAAGUUAACACAACUGCAUAAGAUCACAACCUCCUUAUUUCUCUUCUAACAACCUUGGGAUAUCAAAACCGCCUCUUUACUUCCAGCUCUGACACAGGCUCAAUCCUUAUCUUUGAUAUAUUCUGGCCUUUUUAUUUUUCUAUCUUUUCUCCUUUAGUAGGCUAAGUUCUCACUUAAGCUACUUUCCUUGGCAUUUUGCGUCCUUGUGCUUUUUCCCAGCAUUUCUUUCUCCCUUCUCUCUACACCAGAGGCCAGCAAUUUCUUUUUUCUGUAAGAGGCCAAAUAGCAAAUAGGUUAGGCAUUGUGGGUCGUAUGGUCUCUGUUGCAACUAUUCAACUCUGCCAUUAUUAUGGGAAAGCAGCCAUAAAUAAUAUCUAAACGAAUGAGUGUGGCUGUGUUUCAAAGUUCAUAUAUAAAAUGUUACAUAUAAAAAUAGGCAACAGGACAGAUUAAUCUUGUAGGCUCUAGUUUGCUGACCCUUGAUUUAUGCUAUUAAAUCCCAGCCAGUUUUAUUUCCUUUGUAGAUUCUGAAGAGCAACAUUAUUACCUAUGACAACUGACCUCUUAGAAUAUGGAAGAUUCCAGCCCCUCUGUAUCUGUAGAUAGCAAUCCUAGAUGUUAGACAAGAACUUUUCUUACUCAAAUUGUUUACCAAACUUAAUAAAAAUACAACAAACCAGGUAACCCACAAGGCCUGCUCCCUUCUCUCUUUUCAGGACCAGUGUGCUGAGUAUUGGGGGAAAAAAAUGCAAAAUUGGAAACUCAGCUGUACUCGGGAGAGAGAUCCUGUACAUGAUGCUGACGGAAAAACAUGCAAAGAGAAGCAAAGGAAAAAUAUAAGCAUCCCGGCAACAGAUCAAAUGGGACUGAAGCAACUCAGGAAAGGAUAUAUGUGAUGAGUUUAGAAGCCAAAUGAAAAAUGGACGACUUAUCUGCACCUGAGAAAGUGACUCUGUCCAUGGCCCAGACUGUAGGACAUAUGGCAAUAAGUGCACUAUGUGUAAGGAACAGCUGUGAGUAGUUUCCAAAAAUGGCCCUUGAAUUGUGAGUCUUAAAGUAGUAAUAAUCAUUUCUCAUCAGUUUGAGAAAACAACACGUUUUUAAAGCAGAUCUAGUAACUGAUGAGUGUCUGUUCCCUUUGGUAGCAUUGUUUCUUUACACUUUUUUCUUCAAGGGAAAGAGAAGCAGCCGAAAGAAAAGAGAAAGACAAGGAGAACACGGGAAGCACAGGAGAGAAGAACAACGAAAAGCAGGAUCAGUGCCAUGAAUUCCGGGACAUGGUGAGAAACUGAAAGCUGGUGUGCACUGCAGACUAUGAUCCUGUUCGAGGUCCAUAUGACAAGAUGCACCCCAACAAGUGUGCCACGUGUCAGAGCAUGUUUGAGCGAGAAGUUAACGAAAGAAAAAAGAAUGAAGAAACAUCAAGUGCCAAGCCCUCAAACUAUGCAAAGGUUAUUUCUUAGAAGCUACGAAGAUAACUGUUUUACUGCUCAUCCUCAGAAUCUUGAAUGCUACUCCAGUUUUAGGAUAAUAAAGAUGCUAAUCUUUUGCUUCAAAGAAAA